UACCCGCAGCACAAGUGGUGGUCAUUAUUAUUGGGCCUAAAGCGUCCGUAGCUGGCUUGUUAGAUGCCUGGGUAAAUCGAUGCGCUCAACGCAUCGAACUCCGGGUAGACCGGCAAGCUUGGGACCGGGAGAGGCGUGAGCUACUCGAGGGGUAGGGGUAAAAUCCUGUAAUCCUUCGGGGAGGACCAGUGGCGAAGGCGUCACGCUAGAACGGCUCCGACAGUGAGGGACGAAGCCCUGGGGUGCAAACCGG
This 253-nucleotide ribosomal RNA is filed under the name uncultured bacterium. RNAcentral's name for it is "partial 16S ribosomal RNA". It matches the Rfam family "Archaeal small subunit ribosomal RNA", at positions 474 to 727 of the family's 1478-position model. The record is from RNAcentral.